Small nucleolar RNA from Neogale vison (American mink), 131 nucleotides. Its record names the gene SNORA72. It matches the Rfam family "Small nucleolar RNA SNORA72". From Rfam's summary of the family: U72 is a member of the H/ACA class of snoRNAs. The snoRNA gene is located in intron 4 of the ribosomal L30 protein gene in human, mouse and chicken. NCBI's taxonomy places the organism in Eukaryota, Metazoa, Chordata, Mammalia, Carnivora, Mustelidae. The record is from Ensembl.
CUGUGAGUAUUCUUGCUGUUCUGAUUUUGUAAUAAUCAGGAAGCCUAAACAUUUGCUAUAUUAAGACCAUUCACGUGUCCCCAGACCUAGUUCUUCCCCUAGGUCUGGUUUUAUCAAUACUUAUGAUAAAC